AGGUGACCACGACGGAUGUGACGACAGCAGCUGAUGACUUCACACACCUGUCCGAUAGUUCUGUCACUUUCCCCAGCGGUUCACUCACUGCCACGUUAACCAUUGAUAUCACAGAUGAUGACGAAAUUGAAGGUGAUGAGGUCUUCACACUGAGUAUUGCUGGGGCAAACUUCUCCUCCAUUAAUGCCACGAUAGUAGACAAUGAGGGAAGUAGGCCUUUUGACUGCCGCCGGAAGGGUAGCGGGUGCUCAGCUUCAGAAGACGUGUGUCGCCCAACAUUGCCACUGUGUGAAUGUGUUGGUGAUCCCCCAAGGGAGGGCGACAUGUGCAACAUUGUAACAG
This is a long non-coding RNA of Haliotis rubra (blacklip abalone), 342 nucleotides long. RefSeq lists it as uncharacterized. NCBI's taxonomy places the organism in Eukaryota, Metazoa, Mollusca, Gastropoda, Lepetellida, Haliotidae. The record is from RefSeq and is a predicted model, not a curated record. The transcript has 3 exons.